GGCCGGUAAUUACAGUAUGAACUUCGACGAGUUGGGUUACUUCGUUAUCUUGAUAUAAUAUUUUUCUCAACAAGAGCUUUGUGACCACAAAAAUGUUAAAUCUGGUCAAAAAGCUAAACUAAGACAAAGAGAGAGACACACACACGUCCGUCUAUUAGGCAAGAAUGAAGUAUCUUUAACUCUCUCUCUCUAUAAAAUUCUAUAUGCAUGACAUCCCAAAGCACUACCGCUCCAUACGGUUUCGCUUCCUUCAUACAGUUUUUAAUUUGACUUCCUCAGAAAGGAUGAGAACAAGAGAUGGAUAGACUUUUUCAGGAUAGAACAACAAAAUCACCAACUUCACUUGUUUUUUGUUUUUCCAUAUCAUUUCAAAAUCUAUCUUUCCAUACCAUGUUUUGCCAUUGAAAUAUUUUUUAUCAGAACCCAUAAAUUUUAAAAAUUUGGAUCGUAAAAAGUCAGAAUCUCAAAUGUUCUUCAUCAUUUGUAGAUCUUAAACCUUAUUUCUCUUCUUUGUGCUUUUUUUUCAGUUU
This 530-nucleotide small RNA is filed under the name Arabidopsis thaliana (thale cress). RNAcentral describes it as "ATSL196640". Lineage: Eukaryota; Viridiplantae; Streptophyta; Magnoliopsida; Brassicales; Brassicaceae. The record is from RNAcentral.